Molecule: transfer RNA, 73 nt
Organism: Sus scrofa (pig)
Lineage: Eukaryota; Metazoa; Chordata; Mammalia; Artiodactyla; Suidae
Rfam family: tRNA
About the family: Transfer RNA (tRNA) molecules are approximately 80 nucleotides in length. Their secondary structure includes four short double-helical elements and three loops (D, anti-codon, and T loops).
Source: Rfam
CCCCUGGUGGCCUAAUGGUUAAAGACUCAGUAUUGUCACUGCUGUGGCUCAGGUUUGUUCCCUGGCCUGGGAA